UUUAUUUUCCGAAUAAGCUCCAUUUUGAAGUUUCUCCCAAGAAAGCUAAAAUAGUUUUCUGAUUUUUUUACCGAACAUCUCUAUUCCAUGCAAAAAUACUUUUGAUGGACCGAUACUAGUCUAUGGGACCCACCAAAGGCUCUGCCAAACGGGGCUUAAACUAUUUAAGAUCAAAGCAACCGGUCUAUAGACCUGAUCCAUCCGAUAAUUUCUCCUUACAAGCCAGUAGAUCUUGCUGUGAUGGCCCGUGGGGGUACAUAGCAUUCACCAAGCUCCAACUGCCACGUAGGAAGAGAGUGUAGCAAGUACUGGAGGCUGUGGAGCAAGGAUGAGCGGCAAUACUAGUUCUUUUACAAAAUAAUAAUAACUAGCAUUUACAAUGCAAAGUGCACCCAGUUGCUGGAGCUUUUGCUAAUGUUGGAGCUAGGUCCACUGGAGUUACAGAAUGGACUAAGGACAACCUUGG
Molecule: long non-coding RNA, 466 nt
Filed under: Phoenix dactylifera (date palm)
Lineage: Eukaryota; Viridiplantae; Streptophyta; Magnoliopsida; Arecales; Arecaceae
Description: long non-coding RNA (PDAC_LNC004761)
Source: RNAcentral